This 468-nucleotide ribosomal RNA is filed under the name uncultured bacterium. Its description in RNAcentral is "partial 16S ribosomal RNA". It matches the Rfam family "Bacterial small subunit ribosomal RNA", at positions 28 to 507 of the family's 1533-position model. The record is from RNAcentral.
GACGAACGCUGGCGGCGUGCUUAACACAUGCAAGUCGAACGGAAAGGCCCGGCUUUUGUGGGGUGCUCGAGUGGCGAACGGGUGAGUAACACGUGAGUAACCUGCCCUUGACUUUGGGAUAACUUCAGGAAAUUGGGGCUAAUACCGGAUAGGAGCUCCUGCUGCAUGGUGGGGGUUGGAAAGUUUCGGCGGUUGGGGAUGGACUCGCGGCUUAUCAGCUUGUUGGUGGGGUAGUGGCUUACCAAGGCUUUGACGGGUAGCCGGCCUGAGAGGGUGACCGGCCACAUUGGGACUGAGACACGGCCCAGACUCCUACGGGAGGCAGCAGUGGGGAAUAUUGCACAAUGGGCGGAAGCCUGAUGCAGCAACGCCGCGUGCGGGAUGACGGCCUUCGGGUUGUAAACCGCUUUCGCCUGUGACGAAGCGAAAGUGACGGUAACUGGUAAAGAAGCACCGGCUAACUACGUG